UCGAUGCGUAGGCUGACGGUCGCUAUGCCCAUGGCCCUGAGCCGGCUGGCGGCGGUCGAGUUGACAGCCGAGUGGUACAGCACCACUAAAUCGGGCC
This 97-nucleotide transfer RNA is filed under the name bacterium HR33. Its description in RNAcentral is "tRNA-Leu". The record is from RNAcentral.